RNAcentral lists this ribosomal RNA (200 nucleotides) under uncultured bacterium. RNAcentral's name for it is "partial 16S ribosomal RNA". It matches the Rfam family "Bacterial small subunit ribosomal RNA", at positions 8 to 208 of the family's 1533-position model. The record is from RNAcentral.
AGAGUUUGAUCCUGGCUCAGAAUGAACGCUGGCGGCGUGCUUAACACAUGCAAGUCGAACGAGAAAGUUUCUUCGGAAAUGAGUACAGUGGCGAACGGGUGAGUAACACGUAAGAAUCUGCCCUUUAGUGAAGAAUACCUUCGAGAAAUCGAAGUUAAUGCUGCAUACGUCUCUUAUGAGAGAUCAUAAAAGAGAAAGAC